Molecule: long non-coding RNA, 767 nt
Filed under: Rattus norvegicus (Norway rat)
Lineage: Eukaryota; Metazoa; Chordata; Mammalia; Rodentia; Muridae
Description: long non-coding RNA NONRATT023429
Source: RNAcentral
AGGGCCCCAAGAAAAGAAAACUCUGAAGUGUGGCUAAUCGGGCAGGAGGAGAGUAGGAAGGAAGUACCCGCUUGUUUAUCCCCUAAGAGGUAACCGACUGCAGGACUUUCGUUUUGCUCAGCGCUGCUCACUGCCAUGUUUGCUGUCUUUCCUCAAGGCCAAGGGUCAUUUGCUCAGCGCUCUGGUCCUCUAUAUCCAGGUAUACUUCACAGCUCUGAGCCUCAGGGGCCUUUGGGCCGCCAACAUCCCCAUGGUCCCAACGCAAGGGCUCCCCCUGGUGGCGUCAGGACAGCCUACAUGGCAGAGUGUUAAGCAGGGCUUCAGGGUUACCCAACAACCCACCUAGAUCCAGAGGCUCCUAGAGGUUAUCUGGUUUGGCCCUGAACUAGUUAGAGUGGUGAGUUCUAGUGUAUACUAGGAACCUACAUAAAACUUGGGUGAGGGAAUUAUCUUUCCAGUAGAUAAAAGGCUUGGCCUCCUCCUCCAUCCGUUGGGCUCCUUUGGACUUUCCUGGCUUUUCUGUACUUCCUACUGUCUACUGUAGCUAAUGUUUAGAAGCUAGGAUCUGCAUAUGAACAAGGAGAUGGUAUUUUUUCUUUCUAAGCCUGGAUUAUAUGAAUUUUAUAACUUGGUUUUGCUUUACAACUGAAUGCAAUUCCACCAUGUAUGUGCUCCCCAUUUCAUUACCAGUUCGUGUAUUGAUGGACAUCUAGGCUGAUUUUUGUUUUAAGAGAGAGAAAGAAUAUGAUGUUGGGUGAGUAGGAAUG